This 458-nucleotide ribosomal RNA is filed under the name uncultured bacterium. RNAcentral's name for it is "SSU rRNA". It matches the Rfam family "Bacterial small subunit ribosomal RNA", at positions 26 to 518 of the family's 1533-position model. The record is from RNAcentral.
AGAAUCAACGCUGGCGGCGUGCCUAACACAUGCAAGUCGCACGAGAAAGGGUAGCAAUACCUGAGUACAGUGGCGCACGGGUGAGUAACACGUGAAUGAUCUACCUCCGAGUGGGGAAUAACUGAGAGAAAUCUUAGCUAAUACCGCAUAAUACCCACGGGUCAAAGCAGCAAUGCGCUUGGAGAGGAGUUCGCGGCCGAUUAGUUAGUUGGCGGGGUAAUGGCCACCAAGACGAUGAUCGGUAUCCGGCCUGAGAGGGCGCACGGACACACUGGAACUGAAACACGGUCCAGACUCCUACGGGAGGCAGCAGUGGGGAAUUUUGCGCAAUGGGGGAAACCCUGACGCAGCAACGCCGCGUGGAGGAUGAAGCCCUUGGGUGUAAACUCCUUUCGAUCGGAAGAUAAUGACGGUACCGAUAAUAAGAAGCCCCGGACUAACUUCGUGCCAGCAGCCGC